Molecule: ribosomal RNA, 253 nt
Filed under: uncultured bacterium
Lineage: Bacteria
Description: partial 16S ribosomal RNA
Rfam family: Bacterial small subunit ribosomal RNA
Source: RNAcentral
UACGUAGGGCGCAAGCGUUGUCCGGAAUUAUUGGGCGUAAAGAGCUCGUAGGCGGCCUGUUGCGUCCGCUGUGAAAGCCCGGGGCUUAACCCCGGGUCGGCAGUGGAUACGGGCAGGCUAGAGGUAGGUAGGGGAGAAUGGAAUUCCCGGUGUAGCGGUGAAAUGCGCAGAUAUCGGGAGGAACACCGGUGGCGAAGGCGGUUCUCUGGGCCUUACCUGACGCUGAGGAGCGAAAGCGUGGGGAGCAAACAGG